This is a long non-coding RNA of Marmota monax (woodchuck), 4752 nucleotides long. RefSeq lists it as uncharacterized. Lineage: Eukaryota; Metazoa; Chordata; Mammalia; Rodentia; Sciuridae. The transcript is spliced from 5 exons. The record is from RefSeq and is a predicted model, not a curated record.
ACAGGAACUGGAUGGACCAUAGAGAAUGACCGUGAACUACUACAAGUCCAACCAAGUGUUGGUCUUGAUUGUAGCUGCCAUGCCAGCAGCAGGACCAUUGUUAGAGCACAUUCCUAAGAUUUCAGAGCUUUGCUAAUGGAGCCACCCCCUGUCAUAAAGAGUCUGAAGUGAUCUGGACCAUCUGAACCCAGUGAACCUCACACUCAUCCAUUGCCUCAGUGACGUCAUCAAGUUCAUGGUCCAGGAGAAACAAGAGGAAGCUUGUGUGCUAGAAGCCUUGGUAAAACACAUGUGCUCCAGAGAGGAGAAGAUAAACUGUGAAGAUGAGAGACCUGGAAUGCAGUGGCCAGGUUCAUGCUGAGAUGCCCAACUCAAAGCCAAAGGGAUUUAAUGGUCCAGUGACUGGGAAAAUGGUCCGUAAUUCCGAUGGCAGGAAAUCUGGGAACCAAAUUGCUUACAAUGAAUUAAUUGCAUGAACAAACCACAUGGUGGGCACUGAAGCAGUCAUUCCGGCUCACACAGAGGACUCCAUACCUGAGAGCCAUUCUAGUGCUUCACGCUGAGGACUGCAUUUCACCUUUACGACAACCAUAUAAAACCCUGCUCAUGUGGCCAUGUUUUUGCUCCCCAUGAUUCGCCAUGAUGCUUUCCACUCCGUGGUCCUUGCCUCUGAUUUCCUGCUGCCCCUUUGCCUAGAAGGCUCCUCCUCAAGUGACGGGUUUUCACUUUUGUUCCUCGGGUUCCUCAGAGCAAACCUCUCUGAUGACUGUUUCAAAGGGAGCUGUUGUCAUCACCACGCCCACUUCAUUUUCACAAAUGCUGCUCCUGUCAGUCGUGAUUAUUGGCUUGUUUGCCUCCUCCUAUUGUCAUGUCUUCCUCCACAAAAACGUGAGCUCCAAAGAGCAGAUACUGGCUUGGUCUUAUUCACUGUGGCCCUAAUCACUGCCGGUCCACCAUGGAUAUUCAGUAAGCAUUUGUUUAAUGAACAGAUGAAUCGUUUUCAGAUUAUUUAAGCUAUAUUCGUUUCUCCUUGACUGUCUGACCGUCUACUCCUUGGUAAAGUAUCCAACCAUAGAGGGAGGAACAUGUUUCAUUUUCAACUUAAAUAUGUGUUCAAACAUGUUUUCAUUUUCAACUUAUAUAUGUGUUCAACUUAACAUAUUGAAGGGAGAUUGUUGUUCUAUCUUAGCUCUUGCGUACUCUAUCCCUUCAUGGUGGCAAAUGACGAGAUAUUAAGUUUUAAGAGCCAUCAGACUUUCAUUAGCAAACAUUUCCUAACCUUUUCUGUUUUCUAGGUCUUUUCUGAAUUUUAUUUAAUCUGAAUUUAGAAUGUAGUCAUCUCUACGGAAGCCGUUGCUUGCAUGUAAUUUUCGAUUGUGGAAAUUCUAGAAAUCCUACAAAAUUAACAUUUUUGUUUAUUUCAAAUACAUUGGUUCCAAGACUAUGUCAUGCUAACUCCUCUUAUUCUCAAGAAUUACAAAAUAAAGAUGGUGAUAAGGAAUUCAUUGCUACAGUGUCUUGGGAUAUGAAAUUGUAUCCAUAAAAACACUGAUGUAAUACUAUGAGCUCAUAAUAUAAAUGGAUAGCAAAUCAUUUUGUGGCAUAUUAGAUCAUGAAGAUAUUUGGGUAUAAUUUUAGAGGAAAAAAAUAAAGCAAUGUUGCGACUAACAGGUGAGUGGCUUCAAACCACAACUGGGCAAUCUUAAAUCCUGAUUUGAGGAAAUGUUUGCCAAAGCUUUUUUAAAGUCAACACAUAGAAUAGUCUAGAAGAUGGGAAAGAAGUACGUCUAAAACAUCACAGGGGAAAAAAAAUAGGUUAAAUAUAAAACAUUGCUGAUCAAGAUAAAUGAUCCAAUGGAAAUUACUCUUAUUGGAAUAAAAUACAGAAAGAGGAAGAGAAAGGAAGAGUUUAAGAGAUGCCGGAGCUACUGUAAGUGUCUGAGAUCAAUCUCUUGAGCUAUGCAUUCAGGAACACAGCGAUUAGUGUUGACUAACCAUUUACUCUAAGCCUUUAUACCUCACAGCCUGCUCAACCACAAAGCACGUGCCAACAGCAACCAGAGCUCAGCAAGGGACGGAGGGUCCACGUUGCCUGGAGAGGUUCAGGUCGACUUCUUGGAAAGAACAGGACUUUAGUGAAACCUUGCUGGAUGCUUAGGGGUCUUGAUACAGAAAGGUGGGAGCAGGAAGAGAGAGAGAUGCACAAAAGCAAAAAAACACAAACAAAUUAGAUCACCUCACCUCCAGGAAAAAAGGCUUUCAAAGGUUUCCUGACUGAAAUGGAACAUGGAAUACAGAGACAAAAAUUUAAUGGAAUGGCCCCACGGUGGGCUUUGCCUGUUAAUCUUCGGGUGGGUGGGCAGUAGAAGCAACUGGAAACAUGAAGAAAGGGUGGCAUGAAGGGGUGAUGUUUUAGGAAGGGAAAUACUUGCUUGUAUCAGUCCUGUUGCAAAGAGGUAAGUCUGGAUCUUGAAUGUUCUCCAAAGGCUUGAUCCCCAACCUACAGUGCUACGGGGAGGUGGUGGCAGCAGCUUUGUGAGGGGGAGCCUAAUGGAGGCAAGUCAGGCCAUGGGGAUGUGUCCUUGAAGGGGAUAGUGGGAAUCUGGCCCCUUCCUCUCUCUCUCUAUCACUUUCUGGCUGCCAUGAGGUGAGUAGCUUUGCUCCAUCAUGUGCUCCCGCCGUGAUGUUUGGUCUCUUCACAGGCCCAAGAUCAGUGGAACCAAAGGACCACGAACUAAAACUCAGAACUUGGAAAAUAAAACUUUCCUUCCUAUAAGUUGCUUAUCUCAGGUAUUUUGUCACAGUAACAGAAAGUUAGCCUAUUGGAGUCAUUCCAUAACGCUAUUCCUACAAUAAGGCUGUAAGAUGAAUCAAGAUCUGUACUCCGAGGAUCGUAAUAUUAAUAGAGAGAAAGGAGUAACUCCAAGAGGCAGUUUUAAGGGCAUGGAAACAGGAAUGUACCAAAAUUGUGUAAGAUUCUUGCUUUACAUGUAUCAUUUUCCUUAAUUCUCAAAACAGCCUUUCCAAAAUGUAUUGUUUUUCCAGUUUCGAGAUAACUGAGCUUAGUGACUUAUUAAAUAAAUUACACAAGAUCAAACAGUGGAACCAAGGUUAGGAACGGGCAGGUUGAGUGGGUGGUGGAUUAAGGUGAAUCAAAGUGUUCUCAUUUCUUGACUUUGCAAGGCUGCAUUUGCAUUUUUAUUGUGCUUUGUGCUCCCAGGUCUGAGAACCUCAUGUUGAUCUGUGUAAGAUUAUGUGUCAAAGACAAAGGCUGAGUAGCUAGCCCUGAAAACAGGAUGCAACGGCCAGUUUGGGUUUGUAUCCUUAAAACUCAGCAUCUGGUUUGAGAUAAAUGAAAGGCGAGUUUCUGAUACGAAAUAAGUCUCAAAAAGACUGAUAAAGAGCAAUUGCCUGCUGGGUGAGGCAAGUUUACUCCACUAAGUUUGCUCUCAGUGUGUUCUUCGGGUAGCUGUGACCUCAAGCUGGAGACUGACCAGAGGUCUCCAGAGCAGAGGGAGCCCAUGGAGUUCUAAACAGGAUCCUUGUGCCCAGAGGAACAGGGUCACCCACUCGUGCAAUUUAGAAGCAGCAUGAAAUAAACGUGGAGCACCAGGGUUAGAGAGCAAAGAUGGGUUGGGAGUCGACACUAUAGAUCCAGAUUUAAAUCCAGAUUUUUAAAACUAGGAAACUCUCUUUCUAAAGAGAAAAGCAAAGCUUGCAGUCUCGUUCCAUUACCCACCGGUGCCUUUGAGCCAUGAACUUUCCCCCACUUCUGAAACUUCUCUGGAAAAUUCAUUUCAUGCUUGUCUACUCCAGUAACACCCUUGACUGAACUGUUACCAAACAGGAGACUUGGCUGAGGGAAUGUGAGAAAUCUCUUGAUAGGUUGGAGCCAGUUGGCACCCUUGAGAGCCAUGUGCUGUGACCUUCGCUUUACCUGUAAUCUGGGACCAUGACCUUCUCCCAGCAGAGGGGACUUUCUGAUUAUUCCUGUGCCAGGUGCCUGGGAAGCAGACACGGCACAUGUGUCACAUUCUUUGACACACUAAAAAUGUCUGUUAGGCUGAGGGAGGGACACAGGGGCCCUGGCUUCAGAGCCCUGCAUCCACCUGCGUCUGGGGGGCUGUCCUAGGAGACCGGCUUGGUAGCCCUCAAAUCUCCCUGAGAGCCUCAAUUUGGAUUCUUUCCCUUAUAAGACCAGGUCUCCACCAGCUAACUUACUGCUGCUAAGGCUGCCCUCAAACCAAUGUGAUAAGCAUCCCUGUCUCCUUCACUGUACAUUUUUUUCCCCAACUGUCUUUUUAUGCAUCCUUAGACGACCACCUUCCCAUUUAUAACAAUGCUUCUUUCAGAAUUCAGCUUUUCUCAAGUUCUCAGCCUCUUACCCUCAGAAAAUGAUCUAAUUUCUUCCUCCCCCGAGAAAAGGUUUUCAGCAAAAACUUACCGAGCACUAAUGCGAAGCAAGAAAUGUGCGAAGUCGCUUGGCACAGAGGCACACACCUGUAAUCCCAGGGACUCCGACGCUGAGGAGGAGGAGUGCAAGUUCAAGGCCAGGCUUGAGGACUUAACAAGACCCUGUCUCUCGAUGAAAAAUAGGAAGUGUGUAGGGGUGCAGUUCAGUGUAGAGUAUCCCUGGGUUCAAUUGCCAACACCACACACACACACACACACACACAAACACACACACAACAUACACAAAAGAAUUGUGUUUAGACCCUGGAAUAUAAAGACAAAUACAAUAUCAUCUUUGCC